UACGGGGGGGGCAAGCGUUGUUCGGAAUUACUGGGCGUAAAGGGCUCGUAGGCGGCCAACUAAGUCGGAUGUGAAAUCCCCAGGCUCAACUUGGGAACUGCAUCCGAUACUGGAUGGCUUGAAUUCGGGAGAGGGAUGCAGAAUUCCAGGUGUAGCGGUGAAGUGCGUAGAUAUCUGGAGGAAUACCGGUGGCGAAGGCGGCAUCCUGGACCGACAUUGACGCUGAGGAGCGAAAGCUAGGGGAGCAAACGGG
RNAcentral lists this ribosomal RNA (253 nucleotides) under uncultured bacterium. Its description in RNAcentral is "partial 16S ribosomal RNA". It matches the Rfam family "Bacterial small subunit ribosomal RNA", at positions 524 to 776 of the family's 1533-position model. The record is from RNAcentral.